CCUACGGGUGGCAGCAGUGGGGAAUAUUGCACAAUGGGGGAAACCCUGAUGCAGCGACGCCGCGUGAGUGAAGAAGUAUCUCGGUACGUAAAGCUCUAUCAGCAGGGAAGAAAAUGACGGUACCUGACUAAGAAGCCCCGGCUAACUACGUGCCAGCAGCCGCGGUAAUACGUAGGGGGCAAGCGUUAUCCGGAUUUACUGGGUGUAAAGGGAGCGUAGACGGCAGCACAAGUCUGGAGUGAAAUCCCGGGGCCCAACCCCCGGACUGCUUUGGAAACUGUAUGGCUGGAGUGCAGGAGAGGUAAGUGGAAUUCCUAGUGUAGCGGUGAAAUGCGUAGAUAUUAGGAGGAACACCAGUGGCGAAGGCGGCUUACUGGACUGUAACUGACGUUGAGGCUCGAAAGCGUGGGGAGCAAACAGGAUUAGAUACCCCGUGUAGUC
This 441-nucleotide ribosomal RNA is filed under the name uncultured bacterium. Its description in RNAcentral is "partial 16S ribosomal RNA". It matches the Rfam family "Bacterial small subunit ribosomal RNA", at positions 338 to 795 of the family's 1533-position model. The record is from RNAcentral.